RNAcentral lists this ribosomal RNA (2142 nucleotides) under Triticum aestivum (bread wheat). RNAcentral describes it as "partial small subunit ribosomal RNA". Lineage: Eukaryota; Viridiplantae; Streptophyta; Magnoliopsida; Poales; Poaceae. The record is from RNAcentral.
AUGCCAGCCGUGGCGAGCUUCAGGGCCCGGGCGUCUGCACCAGCACCCGAGAUGCCGUCCUUCUCCUCCGGUGCUUCUCCGCAGAAGCAGCAGCAUAACGCAAGGAGGAAGCAGCUGAUUCGUCAGCAGAGGAAGUCGCUUCCCAUCGCGUCAGUGGAGAAAAGACUUGUCGAUGAGGUGAGGAAGAAUGACACGCUGAUUGUUGUCGGCGAGACCGGUAGUGGCAAAACGACUCAGUUGCCACAGUUUUUGUAUGAUGGUGGGUUUUGUCAGGAUGGAAAAGUGAUUGGCAUCACUCAGCCUCGAAGAGUUGCAGCUGUGACAGUAGCAAAGCGUGUCGCCGAGGAAUGCAAUGAUCAGUUGGGCAGAAAGGUUGGAUACUCUAUAAGAUUUGAUGAUUCCACAUCUAAUGCAACAAGGAUUAAGUACAUGACCGAUGGUUUGCUUCUAAGGGAAGCCCUUUUGGAUCCACUCUUGUCUAAGUAUAGUGUUAUAGUUGUUGACGAGGCCCACGAAAGAACUGUCCAUACUGAUGUAUUGCUGGGUUUGUUGAAAAAAGUGCAGCAUUCCCGAUCUCUUCAUGUGAAUAAAAAUGGAAAGAUUUCUGACAGACCAGAUCACUCUCAAUCUUCUACCCUGAAGGCAUGCCAGGGAAUAAAGAUUGCACCUCUAAAGCUGAUUAUUAUGUCUGCCAGUCUGGAUGCGAAGUGUUUUUCUGAUUAUUUUGGUGGCGCUAAAGCUGUACAUAUUCAAGGACGGCAAUACCCCGUCGACACACUGUAUACUUAUCAGCCUGAGUCGGAUUAUCUAGAUGCUACACUAGUUACGAUCUUUCAGAUCCAUUUGGAGGAAGGACCUGGAGACAUUCUUGCAUUUUUAACUGGUCAAGAGGAGAUUGAAUCCCUAGAGAGGCUUAUUCAAGAGCGUGCUCGUCAACUUCCAGCAGAUAGUAGCAAGAUAUGGAUUACACCUAUCUACUCGUCUCUUCCAUCAGAACAGCAAAUGAAUGCAUUUAAGCCAGCACCUUCUGGAGCCCGGAAGGUAGUUCUAGCAACGAAUAUCGCAGAGACUUCUGUAACAAUACCUGGUAUUAAAUAUGUUAUUGAUCCUGGUAUGGUCAAAGCACGCGCCUACAAUCCUGUAACUGGAAUGGAGUCCCUAAUCAUCAUUCCUGUCUCUAAAGCACAGGCUCUUCAAAGGAGUGGCCGUGCUGGACGUGAGGGGCCAGGGAAGUGCUUUCGGUUGUUCCAAGAAUGUGAGUUCGAUAAACUGGCGGAAUCGACUAUUCCUGAGAUUAAACGAUGUAACCUCGCAAAUGUUGUACUACAACUCAAAGCUCUUGGGAUUGAUGACAUCAUAGGUUUCGAUUUUAUGGAGAAACCAUCAAGGACGUCCAUUUUGAAAUCAUUGGAGCAAUUGAUUUUACUAGGAGCUUUGACUGAUGAUUAUAAGCUGUCAGAUCCAGUGGGUAAACAGAUGGCUAGGCUGCCUUUAGAUCCCAUGUACUCCAAGGCAUUGAUUGUGUCGAGUGAAUUCAAGUGCUUGGAAGAAAUGUUGAUUGUUGUUUCUAUGCUUUCAGUGGAGUCAAUUUUCUUCACCCCACGUGAGAAGUUGGAAGAGGCAAGAGCUGCUAGGAAGAGUUUUGAAAGCUCUGAAGGAGACCAUAUAACUUUGGUGAAUGUAUAUCGAGCUGCCGCAGAAUGCUUGGAAAAGAGCAAAAACGCAAAUGCUAAAGAAAAGACAAUGGAAAAGGCUUUGAACAGAUGGUGCUUCGAAAACUUCAUCAAUUAUCGAUCUUUAAGACAUGCUCGUGAUGUUCACAGCCAAAUCCAGGGUCAUGUCCAACAAAUGGGGCUUAACCUGUCAUCAUGUGGAGACGACAUGGUCCAGUUCCGGAGGUGCCUCACCGCUGCCUUCUUCCUGAACGCAGCAAUGCGACAGCCAGAUGGAUCAUUCAGGGCUCUCGCGACGGGGCAGAGCGUGCAGAUGCACCCUUCAUCGGUGCUGUUCCGGACCAAGCCGGACUGCGUCAUCUUCAACGAGCUGGUCCGGACGACGCAGAACUACGUCAAGAACCUCACCCGGAUCGACCCGCUGUGGCUGGCCGAGCUCGCCCCGCAGUACUACGCCACCGAAGACUAG